This 585-nucleotide ribosomal RNA is filed under the name Baeomyces rufus. Its description in RNAcentral is "LSU rRNA". It matches the Rfam family "Eukaryotic large subunit ribosomal RNA", at positions 31 to 635 of the family's 3401-position model. The record is from RNAcentral. Lineage: Eukaryota; Fungi; Ascomycota; Lecanoromycetes; Baeomycetales; Baeomycetaceae.
GACUUAAGCAUAUCAAUAAGCGGAGGAAAAGAAACCAACAGGGAUUGCCUCAGUAACGGCGAGUGAAGCGGCAACAGCUCAAAUUUGAAAUCUGACUUCGGUCCGAGUUGUAAUUUGUAGAGGAAGUCUCGGGUGCGAUACUGGUCUAAGUUCCUUGGAACAGGACGUCAUAGAGGGUGAGAAUCCCGUAUGCGACUGGUGGUCAACCCCAUGUGAGGCCCCUUCGACGAGUCGAGUUGUUUGGGAAUGCAGCUCAAAAUGGGUGGUAAAUUUCAUCUAAAGCUAAAUACCGGCCAGAGACCGAUAGCGCACAAGUAGAGUGAUCGAAAGAUGAAAAGCACUUUGGAAAGAGAGUUAAAAAGUACGUGAAAUUGUUGAAAGGGAAGCGCUUGCAACCAGACUUGCUCGCGGGUGAUCCACCGUCCCUCGGGGCGGUCUACUCUCCCGUGAUCAGGCCAACAUCGGUUUCGGUGGCUGGAUACAGGCUCCGGGAAUGUGGCUCCCUCCGGGGAGUGUUAUAGCCCGGGGUGCAAUGCAGCCCGCCGGGACCGAGGACCGCGCUUCGGCUUAGGAUGUUGGCGUAAU